RNAcentral lists this transfer RNA (73 nucleotides) under Camelus bactrianus (Bactrian camel). It matches the Rfam family "tRNA". From Rfam's summary of the family: Transfer RNA (tRNA) molecules are approximately 80 nucleotides in length. Their secondary structure includes four short double-helical elements and three loops (D, anti-codon, and T loops). Lineage: Eukaryota; Metazoa; Chordata; Mammalia; Artiodactyla; Camelidae. The record is from Rfam by way of RNAcentral. RNAcentral also lists the same sequence under 2 other names.
GAGGGUAUAGCUCAAGUGGUAGAGCACAUGCUUAGCAUGCAGGAGGUCCUGGGUUCAAUCCCCUGUGCCUCCU